Molecule: non-coding RNA, 1608 nt
Filed under: Pongo abelii (Sumatran orangutan)
Lineage: Eukaryota; Metazoa; Chordata; Mammalia; Primates; Hominidae
Source: RNAcentral
AAAGAUCCAUGGGAGAAGCAUGGUUUCCUGAGGUCGCACAAUCACUCACUGCUUCCCUUGGCUGGGAGUGGGGGUUCCUUUGUCUCUUUGUCGCUCCCAGGGGGGCUGUCGCCCCAUCCUGCUUUUCUUUGUUCUCUGUGGGUCGAGUUGUUUUCCUGAUCAGUCCCAAUGCAAGUACCUGGAUAUUUCAGUUGAAGAUGCUAUACUCACUUGCCUCUUUUGUUCAUCUGCCCCUUUGGUGCCAGUCUGCUGGAGUUUGCUGGAGGUCCACUCCUGACCCUGUUUGCCUGGGUAUCACCAGUGGAGGCUGCAGAGCAGCAAAGAUUGCUGCCUGUUCUUUCCUCUGGAAGCUUCGACCCAGUGGGGCACCUGCCAGAUGCCAGCCAGAGCUCUCCUGUAUCAGGUGUCUGUCGGUCCCAACUAGGAGGUGUCUCCCAGUCAGUAUACAAGGGGGUCAGGGGCCCACUUGAGGAGGCAGACUGACCCUUAGCAGAGCUCGAAUGCUAUACUGGGAAGUCCACUGCUGUCUUCAGAGCCAUCAGGCAGGGAUGUUUAAGUAUACUGUAAGCCCCUAACUGGGGCUGCUGCCUUUUUUACAGAGAUGCCCUGUCCAGAGAGGAGCAAUCUGGCAGUCUGGCCACAGCAGCCUUGCUGAGCUGCAGUGGGCUCUGCCCAGUUCGAACUUCCCAGCAGCUUUGUUUAUACUGUGGUCAUAAAACUGCCUACUCAAGUCUCAGCAAUAGCGGACACCUCUUCCACCACUAAGCUAAACCGUCCCAGGUGGAUCUCAGAUUGCUGCUGUGCUGGCAGUGAGAAUUUCAGGCCAGUGGAUCUUAGUUUCCUGGGCUCCAUGUGGGUGAGACUGGCAAAACUAGAACACUUGGCUCCCUGGCUUCAGCCCCUUUCCAGGGGAGUGAACGGUUCUGUCUUGCUGGCGUUCCAGGUGCCACUGGGGUAUGGGAAAAAAAAAAAAACUCCUACAGCUAGUUCAGUGUCUGCCCAACUGGCCGCCCAGUUUUGUGCUUGAAACCUAGGGCCCUGGUGGGGUAGUCACUGGAGGGAAUCUCCUGGUUUGCAGGUUGCGAAGACUGUGGGACAAGCACAGUAUCUGUGCUGGAGUUCCUCAGUCUCAGACCCUCAUGGUAUCCCUUGGGUAGGGGGGAAAAUUCACCGACCCCUUGCGCUUCCCAGGUGAGGUGAUGCCCCAUCCUGCUUCGGCUUGCCCUCCAUGGGCUGCACCCACUGUCCAACCAGUCCCAAUUAAAUGAAACGUGUGCCUUGGUUGGAGAUGCAGAAAUCACCCACCUUCUGCCUCCAUCUCACUGGGAGCUGCAGACUGGUGCUGUUCCUAUUCGGCCAUCUUGAAUCUCGCCUGUUCAUUUUUUCUUUCAGUGUAUUUUCCUCUCAGUUCAGGCUGGAAAAUUUCAAUUGCUCUGUCUUUGAGUUCACUGAUUCUUUCUUUUGUCAUCUUCAUUCUGUUAUUGAAUCCAUCAGUGAGUUUUCAUUUUGGUUAUUUUAUUUUCAGCUGUAAAAUUUCCAUUUUCUUCUUUCUUAUAUUUUAUAUUUGUUGCUAAGAUGUUCUAUUAAAAAAAUUUCAAAGUUAUUCAU